AACGAACGCUGGCGGCGUGCCUAACACAUGCAAGUCGAACGAGAAAACGGGCUUCGGUCCGUGAGUAAAGUGGCAGACGGGUGAGUAACACGUGGGUAACCUGCCCGGAGGUGGGGGAUAACCCCCGGAAACGGGGGCUAAUACCGCAUGACACCCCGAAGGCUGCGGCCUUUGGGAUCAAAGCUGGCCUCUACAUGUAAGCCAGUGCCACCGGAGGGGCCCGCGGCCCAUUAGCUAGUUGGUGAGGUAACGGCNCACCAAGGCGACGAUGGGUAGCCGGCCUGAGAGGGCGAUCGGCCACACUGGAACUGAGACACGGUCCAGACUCCUACGGGAGGCAGCAGUGAGGAAUCUUGCGCAAUGGGGGAAACCCUGACGCAGCGACGCCGCGUGGAGGACGAAGGCCUCGGGUCGUAACUCUGUCAAGAGGGACGAAAGCCAUGGGAUGAAUGAGCCCCGUGGUUGACGGUACCUCUGGAGGAAGCCCCGGCUAACUCCGUGCCAGCAGCCGCCGUAA
RNAcentral lists this ribosomal RNA (517 nucleotides) under uncultured bacterium. RNAcentral's name for it is "bacterial SSU rRNA". It matches the Rfam family "Bacterial small subunit ribosomal RNA", at positions 29 to 523 of the family's 1533-position model. The record is from RNAcentral.